AAUCCCUGAUAUGGACAAGCUCUUAGUAGCUCCUUGCACCUUUCCUAGGCGUCAAAGAGGGACUUACCAUCCUGUUGAGUAAAUAUGGUAAUUUGGUUACGUAGAAC
Molecule: small nucleolar RNA, 107 nt
Organism: Lathyrus oleraceus (garden pea)
Lineage: Eukaryota; Viridiplantae; Streptophyta; Magnoliopsida; Fabales; Fabaceae
Source: RefSeq, a predicted model, not a curated record